Molecule: ribosomal RNA, 466 nt
Filed under: Klebsiella aerogenes
Lineage: Bacteria; Pseudomonadati; Pseudomonadota; Gammaproteobacteria; Enterobacterales; Enterobacteriaceae
Description: partial 23S ribosomal RNA
Rfam family: Bacterial large subunit ribosomal RNA
Source: RNAcentral
AUCAGAAGUGCGAAUGCUGACAUAAGUAACGAUAAUGCGGGUGAAAAGCCCGCACGCCGGAAGACCAAGGGUUCCUGUCCAACGUUAAUCGGGGCAGGGUGAGUCGACCCCUAAGGCGAGGCCGAAAGGCGUAGUCGAUGGGAAACAGGUUAAUAUUCCUGUACUUGGUGUUACUGCGAAGGGGGGACGGAGAAGGCUAUGUUAGCCGGGCGACGGUUGUCCCGGUUUAAGCAUGUAGGCGGAGGUUCCAGGUAAAUCCGGUACCUUAUUAACGCUGAGGUGUGAUGACGAGGCACUACGGUGCUGAAGUAACAAAUGCCCUGCUUCCAGGAAAAGCCUCUAAGCAUCAGGUAACAUCAAAUCGUACCCCAAACCGACACAGGUGGUCAGGUAGAGAAUACCAAGGCGCUUGAGAGAACUCGGGUGAAGGAACUAGGCAAAAUGGUGCCGUAACUUCGGGAGAAGG